This 972-nucleotide ribosomal RNA is filed under the name uncultured bacterium. Its description in RNAcentral is "bacterial SSU rRNA". It matches the Rfam family "Bacterial small subunit ribosomal RNA", at positions 1 to 984 of the family's 1533-position model. The record is from RNAcentral.
GAAUUCGCCCUUAGAGUUUGAUCCUGGCUCAGGACGAACGCUGGCGGCGUGCCUAACACAUGCAAGUCGAGCGAAUGAAAUUCCUUCGGGAACGGAUUUAGCGGCGGACGGGUGAGUAACACGUGGGCAACCUGCCUCAUAGAGGGGAAUAGCCUUCCGAAAGGGAGAUUAAUACCGCAUAAGAUUGUAGUACCGCAUGGUACAGCAAUUAAAGGAGCAAUCCGCUAUGAGAUGGGCCCGCGGCGCAUUAGCUAGUUGGUGAGGUAACGGCUCACCAAGGCGACGAUGCGUAGCCGACCUGAGAGGGUGAUCGGCCACAUUGGGACUGAGACACGGCCCAGACUCCUACGGGAGGCAGCAGUGGGGAAUAUUGCACAAUGGGGGAAACCCUGAUGCAGCAACGCCGCGUGAGUGAUGACGGCCUUCGGGUUGUAAGGCUCUGUCUUCAGGGACGAUAAUGACGGUACCUGAGGAGGAAGCCACGGCUAACUACGUGCCAGCAGCCGCGGUAAUACGUAGGUGGCGAGCGUUGUCCGGAUUUACUGGGCGUAAAGGGAGCGUAGGCGGAUUUUUAAGUGAGAUGUGAAAUACUCGGGCUUAACCUGAGUGCUGCAUUUCAAACUGGAAGUCUAGAGUGCAGGAGAGGAGAAGGGAAUUCCUAGUGUAGCGGUGAAAUGCGUAGAGAUUAGGAAGAACACCAGUGGCGAAGGCGCUUCUCUGGACUGUAACUGACGCUGAGGCUCGAAAGCGUGNGGAGCAAACAGGAUUAGAUACCCUGGUAGUCCACGCCGUNAACGAUGAAUACUAGGUGUAGGGGUUGUCAUGACCUCUGUGCCGCCGCUAACGCAUUAAGUAUUCCGCCUGGGGAGUACGGUCGCAAGAUAAAACUCAAAGGAAUUGACGGGGGCCCGCACAAGCACCGGAACCUGGGGUUUAAAUCCAAGCCAACCGAAAAAACCUAACUAGACUUGA